This 27-nucleotide non-coding RNA is filed under the name Homo sapiens (human). The record is from RNAcentral. Lineage: Eukaryota; Metazoa; Chordata; Mammalia; Primates; Hominidae.
UGGCCACAUCCCCUGAAAGAGCACUCC